AACGAACGCUGGCGGCAUGCCUAACACAUGCAAGUCGAACGAGACCUUCGGGUCUAGUGGCGCACGGGUGCGUAACGCGUGGGAACCUGCCCUUAGGUUCGGAAUAACUCCCCGAAAGGGGUGCUAAUACCGGAUAAUGUCUUCGGACCAAAGAUUUAUCGCCUUUGGAUGGGCCCGCGUUGGAUUAGCUAGUUGGUGGGGUAAAAGCCUACCAAGGCGACGAUCCAUAGCUGGUCUGAGAGGAUGAUCAGCCACACUGGGACUGAGACACGGCCCAGACUCCUACGGGAGGCAGCAGUGGGGAAUAGUGGACAAUGGGCGAAAGCCUGAUCCAGCAAUGCCGCGUGAGUGAUGAAGGCCUUAGGGUUGUAAAGCUCUUUUACCCGGGAUGAUAAUGACAGUACCGGGAGAAUAAGCUCCGGCUAACUCCGUG
RNAcentral lists this ribosomal RNA (433 nucleotides) under uncultured bacterium. RNAcentral's name for it is "partial 16S ribosomal RNA". It matches the Rfam family "Bacterial small subunit ribosomal RNA", at positions 29 to 507 of the family's 1533-position model. The record is from RNAcentral.